AGAACCUCUGAUGAAUGAAUUAUUAACUAAAUAAUAAAUCAAUGACUCUUUAAUUAACAUUAAAAGGACUUUAUAAAGAGAGUCAAAGAGUGAUUGAAAUUGUAGGGAGGGAAGCGGAUGGGGGCCGGUGAUGUGCCCAAUCAGAUGUGGAAAGGUGAUGAGUCGGUCCGCAUAUCAACUUGUGGAGUGGACCAGCAUGGUUUGGGGAAGUGGACAAGGCCCGAGCUCUCGAUACGCCUAUGAAAUUUCCUCUCCUCAAUUGUGGUAGGAAACAUGCACCUCUUGCGUACUACAACAUCUACGCGCUCUAGACGCUGGCCUAUGGGAUCUCUGUUCGACCUGUGUUUAAAAAUGGACAAAGGAGUCUGAUAUGUGUGCAAGUCAACGGGCGAAUAAACCUGUAAGCCGUAAGGAAGAUGAUUGGUUGUAUCCCCCCAAGGGGUUCACCGCAGACCGACCUUGAUCUUCUAAGAAGGGUUCGAGUGUGAGCAUACCUGUCGGGAUCCAAAACAUAGUGAAAUAUGCCUUAGUGGGGAGAAUCUAGGGGAAACUCUUGUGGAGGCCUGCAGCGAUACUGACAUGCAAAUCAUUCGUAUAACAUUGGUAUACUGGAGAAAGACUAAUCGAGCCAUCAAGUAGCUGGUUCCCUCCGAUGUUUCCCUCAGGAUAGCUUGAGCUCGCGAGCUAGUUCUAUCGGGAUAAGCGAAUUAUUAGAGGACUCGGGAGAGAAAUGCCCUCGACCCAUUUUCAAACUUUAAUUAGGUAGGACGGAGCGACUGCUUUGUUCAGCCGCGCCAUAUAAUCAAAAGCUCCAACUUUGUCAUUUUUUAUAUUCAGAAUUGGCGAUACGGGAUGAACCAGAAGCCAGGUUAUGGUUCUAAACUACGCGCUAACCUAGAUCCCACAAAGGGUGUUGGUCGAUUAAGACAGCAGGACGGUGGUCAUGGAAGUCGAAAUCCGCUAAGGAGUGUGUAACAACUAAUUAGCCAAAUCAACUAGAACUGAAAAUUUAUGGCAAUUAAAGAAAAUGAGAAGGAGGGCGUGGCGGGCGCUGUAUAACCUUGGGCGUGAGACUAGGCCCAACAUACAUCGGUGCAAAUCUUGGUGCUGGUAAAAAUAUCCAAAUGAGAACUUGGAAGUCCGAAGAGGGGAAAGGUUCCAUGUGAACGGCACUUGCACAUGGGUUAGUCGAUCCUAAGGGUCGGGGGAACCCCGACAGAUAGCGCCUUUUGCGCCUACUCCGAAAGGGAAUAAGGUUAAAUUUCCUGAAAGGUGAUGUGCCGGUUAACGCUAAAGUUAAAAAGUGCGGAUACGUCAGCGGGAGCCUCAGGAAGAGUUAUAUUUUCUUUUUAACAGCCUACCCACCCUUGAUUCGACUCAGACGGAGGGAGGGUCCAGUAGCUGGAAGAGCACCGCAUGUCACGUGGUGUCCGGUGCGCUCCCGGAGGCCCUUUAAAAUCCGGAGGAUCGAAUUUCAUCCAUGCCAGGUCGUACUCAUAACCACAUCAAGUCUCCAAGGUGAACUAUCUCUAGUCGAUGGAACAAUGUAGACAAGGAAAGUCGGAAAAAUUGAUCCAUAACUUGGGGAAAUGGAUUGGCUUUGAGGGAUGGGCACGGGGGUCCCAGUCCCUAACUCGUCGGCUGUCUGUAGUCUGCUCGAGUUGCUCCUACAGCGAGAGGUGGUCACCACGUGCUGGCCUGGGGACGGCCUGGGAAUGGUUCCUUCGGGUGCUUUCCCUGGGCAUCGAACAAGCAACUCAAUACUAGUAAGUACAAGGGGAAUCCGACUGUUUAAUUAAAACAAAGAAUUGGGAUUGUGCCAACGGAUGUUUACUCAAUGUGAUUUCUGCCCAGUCUUUGAAUGUCAAAGUGAAGAAAUUCAACCACGCACUGGUAAAUGGCGGGAGUAACUAUGACUGCCUUAAGGUAUCCAAAUGCCUCGUUAUCUAAUUAGUGACACACAUAAUGGAUUAACGAGAUUCCCAUUGUUCUUGUCUACUAUCAAGCAAAACCAUCGCCAAGGGAACGGGCUUUGCAGAAUAAGUGGAGAAAGAAGACCUUGGUGAGCUUAUUUCUACUCCGACUUCGUGAAAUCACAUGAGAGGUGUAGUAUAAGUGGGAUCUGAAAGGCAAAAGUGAAAUACUGCUACUUUUAACAUUAUUUUACUUAUUCCGUGAAUCAGAAGUGGGCACUUCCCCUCAUUUUGGACCCAAGGCUCGCUUUACGGGACAAUCCGUGCGGAAGACAUUGUCAGUUGAGGAGUUUGGCUGUGGCGGCACAUCUGUUUAAAGAUAACACAAGUGUUCUAAGAUGAGCUCAAUGAGAAUAGAGAUCUCGUAUGGGACAGAAGGGUAAAAUCUCAUUUGAUUCUUAUUUCCAGUACGAAUAAGAAUCGUGAAAGAAAGGCCUAACGAUCCUUUAGACCGUUGGAAUUCGAAUAACUGACCUGUGGCAGCCAAGCAGUCAUAGUGACGUUGCUUUUUUAUCCUUCGAUGUCCGCUCUUCCAAUCAUUCUGAACCAGAAUUUCGCAAGUGUUUGAUUGUUCACCCACCAAUAGGGAACGUGAGCUGGGUUUAGACCGUCUUGAGACUGGUUAGUUUACCCUACUGACUAUAGUGUCGCAAUAGUAAUUCAACCUAGUACGAGAGGAAUUGUUGAUUCACAAAAUUGACCAUCGCUCUUUGUUUAAAACAUAGUGCGCGAAGCUACCAUGUGCUGGAUUAUGAGUGAAUGCCUCUAAAGAAGAAAUUGAACUAGAAGUGAAGCAUGCGCCCACUGUCCGCUUGCCGAACUGCAAUAGGGGCCUCUAACCCCUAAGGGUACGUGGUGUUAGCUAAGUCUCCGUGACGGAAGCGACGCGGUAAUUGUGUUGAAAUACAAUUUCAAUCGAGCGGUAGGUUGAAUCCUUUGUAGGUGACUAAAGUACGCAACUAGGUAUUGUAAUUAGCAGAGUGGCCUUGCUACCACGAUCCACUAAGAUUCADCCCUUUGUCGCUCCGAUUCGU
This 3007-nucleotide ribosomal RNA is filed under the name Solanum arcanum. RNAcentral's name for it is "eukaryotic LSU rRNA". It matches the Rfam family "Eukaryotic large subunit ribosomal RNA". Lineage: Eukaryota; Viridiplantae; Streptophyta; Magnoliopsida; Solanales; Solanaceae. The record is from RNAcentral.